UACAGAGGUCCCAAGCGUUGUUCGGAUUCACUGGGCGUAAAGGGUGCGUAGGCGGUUCGGUAAGUCGGGUGUGAAACCUCCAGGCUCAACCUGGAGAUGCCACCUGAUACUGCUGUGACUCGAGUCCGGUAGGGGAGCGUGGAAUUCCUGGUGUAGCGGUGAAAUGCGCAGAUAUCAGGAGGAACACCAGCGGCGAAGGCGGCGCUCUGGGCCGGAACUGACGCUGAGGAGCGAAAGCGUGGGUAGCAAACAGG
This 254-nucleotide ribosomal RNA is filed under the name uncultured bacterium. RNAcentral's name for it is "partial 16S ribosomal RNA". It matches the Rfam family "Bacterial small subunit ribosomal RNA", at positions 524 to 776 of the family's 1533-position model. The record is from RNAcentral.